RNAcentral lists this ribosomal RNA (269 nucleotides) under uncultured bacterium. RNAcentral describes it as "partial 16S ribosomal RNA". It matches the Rfam family "Bacterial small subunit ribosomal RNA", at positions 793 to 1055 of the family's 1533-position model. The record is from RNAcentral.
GUCCACGCCGUAAACGAUGGGUGCUAGGUGUCGCGGGCUUUGACCCCUGCGGUGCCGUAGCUAACGCAUUAAGCACCCCGCCUGGGGAGUACGGCCGCAAGGCUAAAACUCAAAAGGAAUUGACGGGGGCCCGCGACAAGCGGUGGAGCAUGUGGUUCAAUUUCGACGCAACGCGCAGAACCUUACCUGGGCUAGAAAAUGCAGGAACCUGGUCGAAAGGUCGGGGUGCUCUUCGGAGAACCUGUAGUUAGGUGCUGCAUGGCUGUCGU